RNAcentral lists this long non-coding RNA (315 nucleotides) under Homo sapiens (human). RNAcentral's name for it is "non-protein coding lnc-TP53BP2-8:5". The record is from RNAcentral. Lineage: Eukaryota; Metazoa; Chordata; Mammalia; Primates; Hominidae.
ACUGGGGCGCUAUGGUGCCUGGAGCUGGGCAGUUUUCUCGUCAGAGUGGGGACUGAUGAUGAUUAUUCCCCACCUUCUAAGAGACAAAGACCAACGAGCCACCACAGCCACCAGUCCCAGAACCCGCCAAUGCUGGGGAACGGAAAAUGAGGGAGUUCAACUCUGAGAAAUGGAAUCAUCGUAUCGCUGAUCUACGUAAACAAACUGAAGAAUUGUCUGAAAGAAAAUAUGACAUGAACUUAUGAAUUCAACAGGUGAAGAUUUACAACUUGAUAAAUCAACUUUGUGAGAGCCACCUAAGCUGAAGAUUCCCUU